ACGUCGAUACUGUCAAGUAAAGUGUUCCCAAAUAAUAUUUCACAGAUGGUGGAUCAUUCUGGUCGAAUGACUCAACCCAUUAUUUACAACAAUGUCAACCAAUAUUGCUUGAAUAACGUUUCAUCGGUAAAUGUGCUCCUUGUUUUCUGUGGUCAUACUCCUCCAUCUACAUCAUUCUCAUCUUCUUCUCCUGCUCAUCCUCCACUAUGGGCUCCACCUCUCAGCCUCACUCUUCCUCUCACUACAACUUGGCUGCUCUCCAUUUCUUUUGAAGACAGGUGAACUCACAUGAUGCCUUUGACAGUGCUUACAGUCCUUGAUGGCAAUCUGGGGGAAAAGGAAGCUGCCAGAACACUGACUGAGUGGAUCAUUGUUGAAUGCCUGUAUAAAUUACUGUGUGCGUGCUUUUGUCAAAGCCUCACCCAUCCAGAUAAUAAACAAAAGACUGGAUCGAUGA
Molecule: long non-coding RNA, 457 nt
Organism: Alosa sapidissima (American shad)
Lineage: Eukaryota; Metazoa; Chordata; Actinopteri; Clupeiformes; Clupeidae
Exons: 2
Source: RefSeq, a predicted model, not a curated record